Molecule: long non-coding RNA, 959 nt
Organism: Myotis brandtii (Brandt's bat)
Lineage: Eukaryota; Metazoa; Chordata; Mammalia; Chiroptera; Vespertilionidae
Exons: 2
Source: RefSeq, a predicted model, not a curated record
AAGGGAGGGAGGAAGACUGGAUCCGCAGCGGCAGCAGGCGAAGGAGGAGGAGCCGCUGGAGCUGGAGCCGCCGCUGCCAGAGUCGCCGUUCGGUACCCGCAGUGGGUGCCCGUCAAUGCCCCUUUCUCUCUCCUAUUGUCAAUAUCACCGGGCGGCUGAGUCCAUGGCACACGCGCAACCGAACCUUCUGGCCAGCAGCGCCCGCCCCCGGCGCCCACUCACUGGAUGCUUCAAACGGGAAGCGAGGCCUCAUUGGCCAGCGCCCGCCUUCACUCCCAUGCCAGCAUGUGCGGCUGAGAGCCGGUCAGGGAUUGGCGGCGGGGGGGCGGAGACACGGGAGGGUGGGAAGAGAAGAGAGCGAGGAUUGGGCUGAGGGCGAGGGACCCGGAUGCAGCCGCGAGCUCCGGCCGCGCUGCCGUCGCUUCCGCCAGGAGGCUGGAUGGCUUGAAGAGGGUGGUCAGUGCCGCCGCCGGGCCUGAGAGCUGCUCCCUAAACCCGGGAGGUGUGCGAUGGGCAGAUCAAUGAAAUGGGUUUCCACGCAUUGCGGAACCUCUGGGCGGCGAUCGUCUUCAACCAGAGGAUUCCAAGGCCACGAUCGGCUAAGGCUCCCUGACGCUCCGGCAAGCCUUGUUGGAGGGCGGCUCGGUGUAGCUUCUGCAGGUGGGGACGCUGACCACGCUCCGCACUCAUUCAUCAGGAUCCUCCGCACCGUCCCUCCACCUGACGGAGCUCGGAGAAACCCCCGCGCCCAACUGUAGGAACCUGGGAGCUUUGAAUUGGCCGGCGGAUCAGAAGGAGUUUGUGGAGAAGCCUUGACUUAACUCUAGAACAAGUGAUAAAAUAUUUAGAAAUGUGUUUGCGUCCUUGGCGAACCCUAGGCCAAAUGGUGCGUUUCCAGAGAAUAUUCUUGGACACUCACUCUAGUUGGAUGCACUCUACUACAUACCUCUUUUGCGGGG